RNAcentral lists this ribosomal RNA (619 nucleotides) under uncultured Ascomycota. Its description in RNAcentral is "eukaryotic LSU rRNA". It matches the Rfam family "Eukaryotic large subunit ribosomal RNA", at positions 23 to 667 of the family's 3401-position model. The record is from RNAcentral. Lineage: Eukaryota; Fungi; Ascomycota.
ACCCGCUGAACUUAAGCAUAUCAAUAAGCGGAGGAAAAGAAACCAACAGGGAUUGCCCCAGUAACGGCGAGUGAAGCGGCAACAGCUCAAAUUUGAAAUCUGGCCCCAGGCCCGAGUUGUAAUUUGCAGAGGAUGCUUUUGGCGACGCGCCUUCCGAGUUCCCUGGAACGGGACGCCAUAGAGGGUGAGAGCCCCGUCUGGUUGGACGCGGAGCCUCUGUAAAGCUCCUUCGACGAGUCGAGUAGUUUGGGAAUGCUGCUCUAAAUGGGAGGUAUAUGUCUUCUAAAGCUAAAUAUUGGCCAGAGACCGAUAGCGCACAAGUAGAGUGAUCGAAAGAUGAAAAGCACUUUGAAAAGAGGGUUAAAUAGUACGUGAAAUUGUUGAAAGGGAAGCGCUUAUGACCAGACGUGGGCCCGGCGGAUCAUCCAGCGUUCUCGCUGGUGCACUUCGCCGGGUUCAGGCCAGCAUCGGUUCGCCGCGGGGGAGAAAGGCGUCGGGAACGUGGCUCCCUCGGGAGUGUUAUAGCCCGUCGCACAAUACCCUGGGGCGGACCGAGGUUCGCGCAUCUGCAAGGAUGCUGGCGUAAUGGUCAUCAGCGACCCGUCUUGAAACACGGACC